This is a long non-coding RNA of Bos taurus (domestic cattle), 756 nucleotides long. NCBI's taxonomy places the organism in Eukaryota, Metazoa, Chordata, Mammalia, Artiodactyla, Bovidae. The record is from Ensembl.
CCCCUAGGCAGGCUCCUGCAGUACGUGUCUUCUGCAUCACGGGGCUCCUGCAGCUCUCAUGACUUCUGAAAUGCCAGACUCAUUCAGUGCAUAUAACUUAUACAGGGCCUGCUUCACUAACUCGAAUGGCUUAUGUAGCGCCUGGUUUCAGCAGUGCUCAGCUCAGCACCUCUCAUGAGUGGCUUCCUUGGCAUCUCUUGCAUGUCUGUAAUAGAGUGCUACUGGUCUGACACCACCCGUUGAAUGGCUUCUUCUGGAAAUCGCUCAGGUGACUUUGCAGAGAUAUCACAAUGAGAUAUCACCCCCACACUGGUCAAAAUGGCCAUCAUUAAAACGUCUGCAAAUAAAUUCUGGGGAAGGUGUGGAGAAAAGGGAACCCUCAGAACAGUAUGGAGUCUCCUUAAAAAAUUAAAAAUAGAGUUACCAUAUGAUCCUACUAUUCCACUCCUGGGCAUACAUCCAGAAAAUAUGAAAACUCUACUUCAAAAAGAUAUAUACCUCAGUGUUCACAGCAGCAGCAAUAUUUAUAAUAGCCAAGACAUGGAAGCAACAUACAUAUCCAUCAACAGAUGAAUGGUUCUUUUUCUUGGGGAUGAUUUUGAUCACCGCCUCCUGUACAGUGUUACAAACCUCUGCUCAUAGUUUUUCAUGUACUCUGCCAGCAAAUUUGGAAAACUCAGCAGUGGCCACAGGACUGGAAAAGGUCAGUUUUCAUUCCAAUCCCAAAGAAAGGCAAUGCCAAAGAAUGCUCAAACU